Spea bombifrons (plains spadefoot toad) is the source of this 1462-nucleotide long non-coding RNA. RefSeq lists it as uncharacterized. The record is from RefSeq and is a predicted model, not a curated record. The transcript is spliced from 2 exons. NCBI's taxonomy places the organism in Eukaryota, Metazoa, Chordata, Amphibia, Anura, Pelobatidae.
CCGGCUAGCACUUUGGAUGAGGGUGGUAGGAGUGGUUUAUUUACAAAGGCAUUGACUCCUAUAAUGUGGAUUUUGUAUUUCCAAUAAUCCUUGGGGGGGGGGGCCCUAGAUGGGUAGAUUAAGCCGGUUUUGGGACGCUGAGCCUAAGUAAGGACGGGACCCCAUCAUUAAAAUCUAAACUAUUUUGUAAUAUUUUGUAACUUUCGCAAUUUUUGGUUAAUUUUUAAUCUGAUACACGUGAAAAUUACCCUUUUGUAUUCCCCCUGUAACUGCAAAGAAGAAUAAUGUGGUUUUACAUAUGCAGCCCUAUAUGCAAAUUAACUGACAAACUAUAAAAGGUUAAUUAGACGAGGAAUUUUAAGGCUGUUGGAUCUUAACCCUCUAUGGCGAAGAGGUUAGUGUAAUUAAAAGGGCGACAGAUCCUGUUCACCGGGGAGUAGCAGCUGGAGGAAGAGUUUAUCUAGUAUUUUAUCAGCAGGCAGUAAUCAUUUACACGGGCGAUCAAUAAUAACCAGCAGAAGCGAUAACCUGGCCUUGUAAAAAAAAUAAAUAAAUCUGCUACGAAAAGAAGAAUUUUGGGGUCACUUCAAGGUAAAUUAUAAUUGGAGGUGAAAACCUUAUUCCUCCGGCGCUCUGUUGAACUCGCUCAGUUUCUGCUGUGAAUUAAAUGUAACGGAUUUACCGGAUGGAAACAUCUUCUGUGUUGUUCUAGAACAAGUUCGAAAGCGGUGGCCUUGUAAAGUAACCCCGGAGGUAAUCCCGAAAGUAACGGGAACAGAACGGAAUGUAACGGGAAGCUUGAGAGUGAAUGUUAUGUUAAGAAUGGAAUAUCUUGUAUUUUAGCUAAAUUAUGGUAAUUCCAAUCCCUACCAUCCAAAGCAAGAACAGACGGUGGGAGCUUUGGUGGAAAAGACCAAAAAAGAGGGACUUAAAUGGCAGUCGGCAUGUAUAAUCCGAGGGGUUCCUGCAUUGAGUUUGUACCUAAGGCAGGUUUUUGCAAAGAUGAAUGAAGAAGUUGGCCUUUCCUUUGGCCAGGACUAUGCUAUUUGCAGUCAUUGGUGACUUUGUGUGGACCAACAAUCAUCUAGCGUUGCGUAAAUAAAGAGGACCAAAACCGACCAAUGGGAUUCCAUCUGAUGUGACCCAAUACCUGCAGCUGUGUUAUGCAGUCAUCAAUGACAUAAUCCCCCCUUCUGGGUAAUUAUGGACACUAAAGGAUGUUUUCCUCUGCUGCCCCCUAGUGGUAGUACCGAGACUCGCAGCUAUUACCGGACUGCUUCUGUUCAUAGAAGUGUAUUCUGACGCGCACGGCCAUAACGCUGCCUUAUAUGUAGCUCUGUUUGGAAUCGAGAUAUUUUUGUAAACUUUUAAUUAUACCAGGCACAUAUGUAAUAAAUAGUUAUCUAUGACACGCAAAAGAAAUGUAAAUUACUACGUGUUUAAUAAACGGCUUUCCCAAGUA